RNAcentral lists this ribosomal RNA (502 nucleotides) under uncultured bacterium. RNAcentral's name for it is "bacterial SSU rRNA". It matches the Rfam family "Bacterial small subunit ribosomal RNA", at positions 22 to 518 of the family's 1533-position model. The record is from RNAcentral.
GGUCAGGAUGAACGCUAGCGGCAGGCUUAACACAUGCAAGUCGAGGGGCAUCGGGAGUAGCAAUACUUGCCGGCGACCGGCGCAAGGGUGCGUAACGCGUGAGCAACAUGCCCGUAUCAGGGGGAUAAUCCAUGGAAACGUGGUCUAAUACCCCAUAGUAAUUAUGUAAGGCAUCUUAUAUAAUUUAAAGCUUUGGUGGAUACGGAUUGGCUCGCGUGACAUUAGCUAGAUGGUAAGGUAACGGCUUACCAUGGCUACGAUGUCUAGGGGUUCUGAGAGGAAGGUCCCCCACACUGGAACUGAGACACGGUCCAGACUCCUACGGGAGGCAGCAGUGAGGAAUAUUGGACAAUGGAUGGAAAUCUGAUCCAGCCAUGCCGCGUGCCAGGAAGACGGCCCUAUGGGUUGUAAACUGCUUUUGUAUGGGAGCAAUAAGGGCUACGCGUAGUCCGAUGAGAGUACCAUACGAAUAAGCACCGGCUAACUCCGUGCCAGCCGCCGC